AGAUGUAAGCCAUACACCAUUUUUACGCUAAACACGUCAGACCUCUAAUCAAAGGCAGCACACGAGUGUAUUUUUUUUAUACAUUUGCUUGGAAGUGAAUUGAUGUAAAUAAUUUCGUUAUUGUGGAACACACAAGUGUAUAUAUCGAAAGUUUCAAAUUGUUCGUGGUUUAGACAUGCAGUAAUUUUGUUUUUGGCAAAUAGUUCAUGAUAAUCCCUAUACGGAUAUUAAAAGAAAUUUUUGUGGAGAUACAAAUACGAAACGCACUUUUUUGGAUAGAGAAAAGUUGUUGUUAUUUUUCCUCGGUGAUUGUUUGUGACAACGAUAUGUUAAUGAACUGUGGAAUAGAAAGGGGUAGUCAAUAUCUAUAUAAUCGGAAAUUUUGAAGUACAGCUUGCUGAUUGUGGUAUACGACGAACGCGAAACGAGAAACCGGUGAACAACAAAUAUGACGAUAUCGGUACCUGACGAGCCAGUUUGGAAUUUGGAACGUCGUGAAUCAUCGGGUCAUUUAUUCUGGAGUCGACAGUCAUCCAGAGUGAAAUUCCGCUGUGAGGUGGAAGUCCUUGAAUAUGUUAAACAUCCCGACGAACACAAUUACGAUCACAGUACAGAGGAUAAAUUGCAUCCGAAUGACAAAAUGGGAAAUAUUAUACUGAUAUGUGCGACAUGCAUUGCUGCUAUAGCGGUGACAACGUUUUUACCGUGGCUUUUAUUCGGAGGAAGUUAAUCAUGUUUUUGAUAGAAAUAACAAAAUAUAACAAAAAAUAUGGCUGACCUUCAACUUGUAAAAAAUAAUAUUUUUUUUUGUAUGUGUAGUUAAGUUGGAUUAAGAUAACUCCUACAUUUUAUUUAUAAUUUUUGCUAAAUUACAUUCUAGCUAGAGGUUAAUAAGAUUUAUAUAUAUAUUUGUGUAAAUUGCACAGGAAUGCUUUGACAUGAACGGUGGUGCAAUCCAAGUAAGAAAAAAAUUGUUUUUCUGGUCGAAACAUUGAAUGUUUUUAAUAUUUUUGCACUUAAAGAAAAGGAG
Long non-coding RNA from Bradysia coprophila, 1030 nucleotides. The record is from RefSeq and is a predicted model, not a curated record. NCBI's taxonomy places the organism in Eukaryota, Metazoa, Arthropoda, Insecta, Diptera, Sciaridae.